UGCUAAUUMAUGCUCUCAACACAUCCAGCUGAUUGCAGUCUCUUUUUGUACAGGAUGGGGCUAUGCAGGUGUGUUGGCUUCUCGGGAAACACUCUCAUUGGCAGAAGAUGGGCCAAAAUCCCCAGCUCCUGCUCUCACCAUUAAUCUUCAAUGACCUCCGUUCGUCUUGAUGACACAUCUUGCAUGAGGUGGGCAGUUUUUCUGAGCAAACUCGUCCUCUCCUGGCUGUAAAGCAAGCGCAUUAGCAAGCGGGAGCUGGCUCGCAAGUGUGUCCUGCAAAUCUACCGUAUCCCUACGGCCACGGUCGCUCCUGCCGGAUGCCGGGAGUAYGUCUAACCCUGAGAUCCUGGAGUUUGCCAUCAGUGCCAGGUUGAGGUUGCCGGGUCGGACGCUCACGACCGAAAGGUGCUGCGGAAGGAGGGCUGUCACGCACUGCUCCUGCCGCGGUCCGCGGUCCCGGUUCCAGGUUAACCCGACCUUCCACGUGCAGUUCUCACCCGUAAAAACACGGGAGGGAAGCAGGCAUCAGGUGCUACCCCGUGGUCUGGGCAGCGUGUUACRGUCCCUCUGCAGAGGUGCGAAUGAUGGUACGAGGUUUGGGACGGUGAACAUUCAGGCCCUGUGUUUUCUGCUUAAAUGCUCUGCAAUAACACAGGGCAGAUUCUGUAGUGUUACUGGAUUCUCUCAUUCCUCGGGCAUGUUGUAAAGCAGGAUAUUUCAGAUCAGCUGCUUCCAACCAUCCGACAAGACGUGUGGCUUGUUCUCAGCAGCAGACGGGCAAUACAUGCUACGGUUGCUCGUCAAAGUCCCCAAACAUAUUUCUUUUGGAUUGAAAUUCUUCAUGUUUAAUAUAAGAUCCUGUACUUAUUGAUUCAGUUGUUUUUAGGUGUUGGAAAGUAUAUAUAUWUUUUUUCUCUCUGUUCGCACUGAUGGAAAGUCAGAAAAUGAGAUCAUUCAAAAAUGACUAAAAGCAAAUAGGCCAGACCUGGCUUGUUAUACAUAUUUCACCAAGGCCCAAGUUUCAAGCCAAACUGAAAGAAAGUUAGCUGRGCAGGUUUAAAGCUGGCAGUGCACAUGACAGUGUAAAUGUUAUGAAUUAUUUUAACGGCAAGCCGCGAAAUGGUAUUGCUUUUGUAAAAUUAUCUUGACAACAAAUGGUCUCGUUCAAGGCUUUCCAAAACGGGCCAGCAUACAUCAGGCAGUCCCUGGCACGGCUGCUAGGAAARAGACAGAAUAUCUGCAUCGGCAAUGAGCAGAUCAUAUAAUAUCUUAGGAACGGCAAAGUCUGGGCAUCAGAUGUUCGUAGGUCUUUAUUGUGUUUCCAAGAACUUACUGUGAAAAUACAUUCUUGAUAAGUGUGAUCUGGAAAAAAGAAACAAAAAUCCCUCUGUGAAACCUAAAUAAACUGUGAUGG
Molecule: long non-coding RNA, 1414 nt
Filed under: Dromaius novaehollandiae (emu)
Lineage: Eukaryota; Metazoa; Chordata; Aves; Casuariiformes; Dromaiidae
Description: lncRNA (ENSDNVG00000010842.1)
Source: RNAcentral